Molecule: long non-coding RNA, 629 nt
Organism: Oreochromis aureus
Lineage: Eukaryota; Metazoa; Chordata; Actinopteri; Cichliformes; Cichlidae
Exons: 4
Source: RefSeq, a predicted model, not a curated record
UCCAUCUUUGCCGCUUACUCGCUGAUAAGAGGAUCAGAGGGGCGGAGGGAGGGAGGCGUCUCAUCCGGAACAGCCCAGGGGAGGAAGACGCCCAGAAGGAAGAGCUGGAAUGCGUCACGAGCUGGACGAGCGUCGUGACGUCAAAACAAUUACGAGGAUGUGGAGUAGCGACGAGCCGGGCACUCUAUCCAAUCGCGUCGCUGCUUUUAUUCCGAGGGAGCAGAAACUACCCCGGGGGUGAUGAUGGAGAGAGGAGCGCAUGGAGACUGUUCACGCUUUAGUGGAAGGAGUGAUUCAGAAGAGAAAAUCAAAAGAAGUCCCCGUGGCCAAAACCUGCGAAGGAAGUUGGGAAAAGUUCACCGAGAGUUCUGGAAGAUGAGGAUGGAAUCAUAAAUAGAGUGCUAGUGAGGCCAGACUUGCAACAUCUCCUUCACUCAAGUACACCUGCUCAGAUACUCCCUCUGUGGCUUUGACUUCUUCAAUUGAAAUCUCAGGCGGAGGUGGAGGAGGAAGAGGCGAUUCACUGAUGGAGUCUGCCCUGUUUGUUAAGAGUACAAGCAAGUUAGAAAACUCCUCGUUAUGAAAUAGAAGGAAUACCAGUCCCGUCACCUGCUCUGUGAUCACACCCC